CCUACGGGAGGCAGCAGUGGGGAAUAUUGCACAAUGGGGGAAACCCUGAUGCAGCGACGCCGCGUGAGCGAUGAAGUAUUUCGGUAUGUAAAGCUCUAUCAGCAGGGAAGAAAAUGACGGUACCUGACUAAGAAGCCCCGGCUAACUACGUGCCAGCAGCCGCGGUAAUACGUAGGGGGCAAGCGUUAUCCGGAUUUACUGGGUGGAAAGGGAGCGUAGACGGUCCUGCAAGCCAGAUGUGAAAGCCCGGGGCUCAACCCCGGGACUGCAUUUGGAACUGUAAGGCUAGAGUGUCGGAGAGGCAGGCGGAAUUCCUAGUGUAGCGGUGAAAUGCGUAGAUAUUAGGAGGAACACCAGUGGCGAAGGCGGCCUGCUGGACGAUGACUGACGUUGAGGCUCGAAAGCGUGGGGAGCAAACAGGAUUAGAUACCCUUGUAGUC
Molecule: ribosomal RNA, 440 nt
Filed under: uncultured bacterium
Lineage: Bacteria
Description: partial 16S ribosomal RNA
Rfam family: Bacterial small subunit ribosomal RNA
Source: RNAcentral